GUGCUCGCUUCGGCAGCACAUAUACUAAAAUUGGAAUGAUACAGAGAAGAUUAGCAUGGCCCCUGCACAAGGAUGACACGCAAAUUCUUGAAGUGUUCCAUAUUUUU
This is a small nuclear RNA of Erinaceus europaeus (western European hedgehog), 107 nucleotides long. Lineage: Eukaryota; Metazoa; Chordata; Mammalia; Eulipotyphla; Erinaceidae. The record is from Ensembl.